UGGGGCAUUUUAAGCGGGGGUGAACUUCCUGGACACAAGGUCAUUGGCGACAUUGCUGUCACUAGGAACUCCACAGCUGGAGUUGGACUAAUUAGCCCUCCUCAUCAUCAUAAUAUCUACUCAAUUGAGGAUCUUGCACAGUUGAUUCAUGAUCUUAAGAAUGCAAACCCUGGGGCACGUGUUAGUGUCAAGUUGGUUUCUGAAGCUGGUGUUGGGGUUAUAGACAGCAGCGUUGUCAAGGGACAUGCUGAUCGUGUCUUGAUCUCCGGUCAUGAUGGAGGGACUGGUGCCUCAAGAUGGACUGGCAUCAAGAGUGCUGGGCUUCCAUGGGAACUUGGUCUUGCAGAGACGCAUCAAACUUUAGUGGCUAACGACCUCCGUGGUCGAACAGUGCUGCAAACAGAUGGUCAAUUGAAAACUGGAAGAGAUGUAGCCAUUGCUGCUCUUCUUAGUGCAGAGGAGUUUGGUUUCAGCACUGCUCCCUCAUAACACUUGGCUGCAUAAUGAUGAGAAAAUGCCACAAAAACACUUGCCCUGUGGGGAUUGCCACUCAAGAUCCAAUUCUUCGGGAGAAGUUUGCUGGAGAACCAGAACAUGUCAUAAAUUUCUUUUUCAUGCUGGCAGAGGAAGUGAGAGAAAUUAUGUCUCAACUUGGUUUCAGAACACUUACUGAAAUGGUUGGCCGUUCAGACAUGCUUGAAAUGGACAGUGAUUUAGUCAAGAACAAUGACAAAUUGAAGAA
Molecule: long non-coding RNA, 742 nt
Organism: Solanum lycopersicum (tomato)
Lineage: Eukaryota; Viridiplantae; Streptophyta; Magnoliopsida; Solanales; Solanaceae
Source: RefSeq, a predicted model, not a curated record